Molecule: transfer RNA, 89 nt
Filed under: bacterium HR19
Lineage: Bacteria
Description: tRNA-Ser
Rfam family: tRNA
About the family: Transfer RNA (tRNA) molecules are approximately 80 nucleotides in length. Their secondary structure includes four short double-helical elements and three loops (D, anti-codon, and T loops).
Source: RNAcentral
GGAGGAGUGCCGGAGAGGACGAACGGGGCGGAUUCGAAAUCCGUUGGGGGUUAAAACUCCCUCGUGGGUUCAAAUCCCACCUCCUCCGC